CAGUCGCCGCGGGAAUACGUAGGGUGCGAGCGUUAAUCGGAAUUACUGGGCGUAAAGCGUGCGCAGGCGGUUCGUUAAGACAGAUGUGAAAUCCCCGGGCUUAACCUGGGAACUGCAUUUGUGACUGGCGAGCUAGAGUUUGGCAGAGGGGGGUAGAAUUCCACGUGUAGCAGUGAAAUGCGUAGAGAUGUGGAGGAAUACCGAUGGCGAAGGCAGCCCCCUGGGCCAAUACUGACGCUCAUGCACGAAAGCGUGGGGAGCAAACAGGAUUAGAUACCCGUGUAGUCCCUGUCUCUUAUAC
Molecule: ribosomal RNA, 301 nt
Filed under: uncultured bacterium
Lineage: Bacteria
Description: partial 16S ribosomal RNA
Rfam family: Bacterial small subunit ribosomal RNA
Source: RNAcentral